Non-coding RNA from Stegodyphus mimosarum, 73 nucleotides. Lineage: Eukaryota; Metazoa; Arthropoda; Arachnida; Araneae; Eresidae. The record is from Rfam.
GCCUUCGGGGUGUAGUGGUCAACACGCUGGGCGCGUAUUCCAGAGGUCCGUGGUUCGAGUCGCGGCGAAGGCG